GACAGCAGUCGCCGCGGGAAUACGAAGGGGGCUAGCGUUGUUCGGAUUUACUGGGCGUAAAGCGCACGUAGGCGGAUCGAUCAGUCAGGGGUGAAAUCCCAGAGCUCAACUCUGGAACUGCCUUUGAUACUGUCGAUCUGGAGUAUGGAAGAGGUGAGUGGAAUUCCGAGUGUAGAGGUGAAAUUCGUAGAUAUUCGGAGGAACACCAGUGGCGAAGGCGGCUCACUGGUCCAUUACUGACGCUGAGGUGCGAAAGCGUGGGGAGCAAACAGGAUUAGAUACCCCGGUAGUCCCUGUCUCUUAUAC
Molecule: ribosomal RNA, 306 nt
Filed under: uncultured bacterium
Lineage: Bacteria
Description: partial 16S ribosomal RNA
Rfam family: Bacterial small subunit ribosomal RNA
Source: RNAcentral